This 29-nucleotide non-coding RNA is filed under the name Rattus norvegicus (Norway rat). Lineage: Eukaryota; Metazoa; Chordata; Mammalia; Rodentia; Muridae. The record is from RNAcentral.
UGGCCAUGAACGGAGAUCUGCAACUGAUG